CUGCUCUCCAUCCUGAGCUCCUUUCAGGAGGUGUUGAAGGUCAGCAGCUGCAGCAGCAUCGGAUUUAAUCCUUGCAGAGACUCGCAGGAUCUUAGUCACCCCACCAGGAAUCAAACCCAUGCCCCUCACAGUGGAAGUGUGGUCAUAACCAUUGGACCACUGGGGAAUUUCCUGAGCUUCAGAUUUAACUGAUCGUCCUGUAUUUUGCCUGGCAACUUCAGACUGAGGAGAGUGUCUUCCAAUCACCAGAUACUGAGCAAAGUGGGAAUGGAAUGGGUACAUCUGCCAGGCUUGCUUUCCCUCCCGACUCCGAAGCUGGCAUAAUACAAGCCAUUCUCCAGAUGCGAUCC
Dama dama (fallow deer) is the source of this 350-nucleotide long non-coding RNA. RefSeq lists it as uncharacterized. The record is from RefSeq and is a predicted model, not a curated record. The transcript is spliced from 3 exons. Lineage: Eukaryota; Metazoa; Chordata; Mammalia; Artiodactyla; Cervidae.